Molecule: ribosomal RNA, 253 nt
Filed under: uncultured bacterium
Lineage: Bacteria
Description: partial 16S ribosomal RNA
Rfam family: Bacterial small subunit ribosomal RNA
Source: RNAcentral
UACGUAGGUGACAAGCGUUGUCCGGAUUUACUGGGCGUAAAGAGCGCGCAGGCGGUCGAUCAAGUCGAGUGUGAAAGCCCCCGGCUCAACUGGGGAGGGUCAUUCGAUACUGAUCGACUCGAAGGCAGGAGAGGGUAGUGGAAUUCCCGGUGUAGUGGUGAAAUGCGUAGAUAUUGGGAGGAACACCAGUGGCGAAGGCGACUACCUGGCCUGUUCUUGACGCUGAGGCGCGAAAGCUAGGGGAGCAAACGGG